This is a non-coding RNA of Paramuricea clavata, 994 nucleotides long. NCBI's taxonomy places the organism in Eukaryota, Metazoa, Cnidaria, Anthozoa, Malacalcyonacea, Plexauridae. The record is from the annotation of a GenBank genome assembly.
CACGUGUCCUCUCUCCAUUUAAAGUUGGUGCAAAUGCGACCCAGUCGUCACUGUAUAGAAUAUAUAUUUUUAUUUAGCUUUCGUCGUUCAACGACCUCUUCAGAAUAAAAUAUGGUCUGACCGUUCGCUUAUAUAUGUGCAACAUACUAAUUACAACAAGACAUGAAUACUAAUGUAAAGCUAAUCAAAAUUAAUUAAGCCUGCAGUCCAUAGUUCCAGAAUAAAAGGAGAGUGAGAGAGUCCCAGGAGCACUAAAUAAAAACUGUAGCCUUGCCCUUGGAAUUAAUUUUGAUUAGUUUUAUACAUUAGUUUAAAAUACUCAUUAAUAAUUCGUAAACCUUGUGGCAAAUCAUGUCGGCCAUAAUAUGUCACGUGGAGUGACUUUAUAUUUGAUAAAGCAUGAGGCAUUAUAUAAUAAUUGUUCAUCCUAAUUAGUAUGAUUAUAUAAUGGUUCAUCCUAAUUAGUAUUCUUUUGUAGUCGUAUUUUAAGCUAUUCAAAAUACUCGUUGUCGUGUUUUAUCAGACAUAAAACGCUCGGCUGCGCCUCGCGUUUUAUAUCUAAUAAAACAGUCAUACUCGUGUUUUAAAUAGUACAUAAAUGUCUUAUUCUAAUUAGUAUGUUGUACAUAUACAAGCGAACGGCUAAGUUAACGACAAAAGCUAAAUAAAAAUAUAUAUUCUUCACAGCAACGACCGAGCCGCAUUUGCACCAACUUUAUAUAGCAGAAUGUUACUGAAGAUACCUUCCACCGUCUCGCUUCAUUUCUUUUUCUCUCUAUCCUCACUCUCUGUCAUUCCCUUUCUUUCUUACUUCCCCAUGUUUAUUUAUCUCCACACCCUCUCCUUCCAACCUUCAUCCUUCCCUCCCCACACCCUCUCCUUGCAACCUUCAUCCUUCCCUCCCCACACCCUCUCCUUCCAAACCUUUAUCCUUCCCUCCCCACACCCUCUCCUUCCAACCUUCAUCCUUCCCUCCCCACACCCUCUCCUUCCA